This 301-nucleotide ribosomal RNA is filed under the name uncultured bacterium. Its description in RNAcentral is "partial 16S ribosomal RNA". It matches the Rfam family "Bacterial small subunit ribosomal RNA", at positions 509 to 807 of the family's 1533-position model. The record is from RNAcentral.
CAGUAGCCGCGGGAAUACGGAGGGCGCGAGCGUUACCCGGAUUCACUGGGCGUAAAGGGCGUGUAGGCGGCCUGGGGCGUCCCAUGUGAAAGACCACGGCUCAACCGUGGGGGAGCGUGGGAUACGCUCAGGCUAGACGGUGGGAGAGGGUGGUGGAAUUCCCGGAGUAGCGGUGAAAUGCGCAGAUACCGGGAGGAACGCCGAUGGCGAAGGCAGCCACCUGGUCCACCCGUGACGCUGAGGCGCGAAAGCGUGGGGAGCAAACCGGAUUAGAUACCCCGGUAGUCCCUGUCUCUUAUAC